RNAcentral lists this microRNA (22 nucleotides) under Chiloscyllium plagiosum (whitespotted bambooshark). Its description in RNAcentral is "microRNA PC-5p-297161_2". Lineage: Eukaryota; Metazoa; Chordata; Chondrichthyes; Orectolobiformes; Hemiscylliidae. The record is from RNAcentral.
AGCAGGUCAGGCAGCAUCUAAG